AUUUAGGUUGGUGCAAAAGUUAUUGCGGUUUUUGCCAUUGAAAGUAAUGGCAAAACUGCAAUAACCUUUGCACCAACCUAAUAAA
RNAcentral lists this microRNA precursor (85 nucleotides) under Rhinopithecus roxellana (golden snub-nosed monkey). Its description in RNAcentral is "miRNA (ENSRROG00000009065.1)". Lineage: Eukaryota; Metazoa; Chordata; Mammalia; Primates; Cercopithecidae. The record is from RNAcentral.